AUUUUGUAUGUACGUUUGGUGAAUUUACGCAUUUCGAUAACGAACGAUGCGACCACGGCCUUUGGAAAACAAGACCAACAUAAAACGAGAUUCUCGCUUAACUCGUAACGUACCAGUUCAAAUAUGGCGAACGUGCUGGCUGACCCCCAUUCCGAUAUAUCGUAUAUAAAUCUUGAUGGAAACGAACCGUGUCUUUCAUGAAAAUUCACGAAAUGUCCUCGGCUGGACUUUUUUUACGAAUGUCCCGUUUCACUCAUAAAUUUACAAGGAUACACGUGCUUUGUCUUGAAAUUCAAUGAUUGGCUUGUAAAUUUCCGGAAAAACAAAAUGAACACACGUGACGAGGUUAUGCAGUGAAAAAGUGGCCCGACUGUGAAAUCUAGUUUGGAAUUUCAUUUGAAUGAUAAAAGGAAGUUAGAAGGCUUAGAAUGUAAAUGGGGAUUAAUACAUCACGUAUAAACCAAUGGCGAAUACAGGAUAUCAGUGUAUCCCGUUCUCUGUCGAACGAAGGUGCCUGGGACGAUUGAUGAUUCAAUAUGCCUGCAAGUUGCUUCAGAUAAAUGGAUCAGGAGAUGACUAAGGGAGAGCAAGAAUUAUUUACGAAGAGGCUCCUGAAGAGAGUGAAAUUUUCAACGAAUUGGAAAAGAACACCCUGAACAUCUAUCAUCCACGAGAAGGAGAGGAAGACGUAAGACGCAAAGCAUGAAAUCAGAGAAAUGAUACUUCCAGUGGAUAAGAAGUUAUGACAUAUAUACUGAACGACAUUUAAAGCAAGUGAACCGAUUCCGCGAGAAAUUCUGUAUUUGAAACCCAUACGUAAAUGUUAUCAAGGCCGUGUUCUAUGCGUUUAUAUUUGCAAAGUUUGCCGUUUCGAGGAAUUAACCAUGUAAUUUUUGGGAAAUGAUAAAUUUACUGAGAUGAUAACUCCAGGAAACUGGUUUGCGAAUAAUACCACGAAUACGUAAAAUUUCAGAGGAGAAUAACAUUAGCAAGUCGCGAGAAUUUCUAGAAAGAUGAGCAUGAAGAUAGGGAUGACACGUUCCGAGGGAGAGUUAUAAGUGAUAUAAAUGACACAA
Eufriesea mexicana is the source of this 1076-nucleotide long non-coding RNA. RefSeq lists it as uncharacterized. The transcript has 5 exons. The record is from RefSeq and is a predicted model, not a curated record. Lineage: Eukaryota; Metazoa; Arthropoda; Insecta; Hymenoptera; Apidae.